UAGUCUAUAUCUCAAUGGUAGAGAGAUUGAUUGAUAAUCAAUAGAUGUAAGUUCAAUUCUUACUAGACUAA
This 71-nucleotide transfer RNA is filed under the name Lizanozyma spartinae. Its description in RNAcentral is "Scheffersomyces spartinae tRNA". It matches the Rfam family "tRNA". From Rfam's summary of the family: Transfer RNA (tRNA) molecules are approximately 80 nucleotides in length. Their secondary structure includes four short double-helical elements and three loops (D, anti-codon, and T loops). The record is from Rfam by way of RNAcentral. Lineage: Eukaryota; Fungi; Ascomycota; Pichiomycetes; Serinales; Debaryomycetaceae.